GCUUACCAAGGCAAAGACGGAUAGGGGGCGUGAGAGCGUGACCCCCCACACUGGUACUGAGACACGGACCAGAUACCUGCGGGUAGCAGCAGCAAGGAAUAUUGCGCAAUCGACGAAAGUCGGACGCAGCAACACCGCGUGAAGGAUGAAGGCCUUCGGGUCGUAAACUUCUUUUCUGGGGGAAGAGAAAGGACGGUACCCCAGGAAUAAGUCUCGGCUAACUACGUGCCAGCAGCCGCGGUAAAACGUAGGAGGCGAGCGUUAUCCGGAUUUAUUGGGCGUAAAGCGCAUGCAGGCGGUUUACUAAGUCGGACGUGAAAGCUCCUGGCUCAACCAGGAGAGGCCGUUCGAAACUAGUAGACUUGAGGAUGGUAGAGGUGAGUGGAAUUCCCGGUGUAGUGGUGAAAUGCGUAGAUAUCGGGAGGAACACCAGUGGCGAAGGCGGCUCACUGGGCCAUUCCUGACGCUCAGGUGCGAAGGCUAGGGGAGAGAACGGGAUUAGAAACCCCGGUAUUCCUAGCCGUAAACGAUGUCAACUAGGCGUAGGAGGUUAUUGACCCCUUCUGUGCUGCAGCUAACGCGUUAAGUUGACCGCCUGGGGACUACGGCCGCAAGGCUAAAACUCAAAGGAAUUGACGGGGACCCGCACAAGCAGCGGAGCGUGUGGUUUAAUUCGAACUACGCGAAGAACCUUACCAGGGUUUGACAUAUACGUGGUAGAGAAGAGAAAUCGGAUCGACCCUUCGGGGAGCGUAUACAGGUGCUGCAUGGCUGUCGUCAGCUCGUGCCGUGAGGUGUUAGGUUAAGUCCUGUAACGAGCGCAACCCUCGUCGUUAGUUAUACGUGUCUAACAAGACUGCCCGUGAUAAGCGGGAGGAAGGUGGGGAUGACGUCAAGUCAGCAUGGCCUUUAUAUCCUGGGCUACACACACGCUACAAUGGCCGGUACAAUGGGUCGCGAAGCCGCGAGGUGGAGCUAAUCCUCUAAAGCCGGUCUCAGUUCGGAUUGUAGGCUGCAACUCGCCUGCAUGAAGUCGGAGUUGCUAGUAAACGUGCGUCAGCACAGCGCGUUGAAUACGUUCCCGGGUCUUGUACACACCGCCCGUCACGUCAUGGAAGUUGGCAACGCCUAAAGUCAGUGAGCUAACCCUAACGGGAGGCAGCUGCCUAAGGCGGGGUCGGUAACUGGGACGAAGUCGUAACAAGGUAGCUGUAGCGGAAGCUGCGACUG
This 1230-nucleotide ribosomal RNA is filed under the name metagenome. RNAcentral describes it as "bacterial SSU rRNA". It matches the Rfam family "Bacterial small subunit ribosomal RNA", at positions 263 to 1520 of the family's 1533-position model. The record is from RNAcentral.